GACGAACGCUGGCGGCGUGCCUAAUACAUGCAAGUUGAGCGCUGAAGGUUGGUACUUGUACCAACUGGAUGAGCAGCGAACGGGUGAGUAACGCGUGGGGAAUCUGCCUUUGAGCGGGGGACAACAUUUGGAAACGAAUGCUAAUACCGCAUAAAAACUUUAAACACAAGUUUUAAGUUUGAAAGAUGCAAUUGCAUCACUCAAAGAUGAUCCCGCGUUGUAUUAGCUAGUUGGUGAGGUAAAGGCGCACCAAGGCGAUGAUACAUAGCCGACCUGAGAGGGUGGUCGGCCACAUUGGGACUGUGACACGGCCCAAACUCCUACGGGAGGCAGCAGUAGGGAAUCUUCGGCAAUGGACGAAAGUCUGACCGAGCAACGCCGCGUGAGUGAAGAAGGUUUUCGGAUCGUAAAACUCUGUUGGUAGGGAAGAACGUUGGUGAGAGUGGAAAGCUCAUCAAGUGACGGUAACUACCCAGAAAGGGACGGCUAACUACGUG
This 497-nucleotide ribosomal RNA is filed under the name uncultured bacterium. RNAcentral's name for it is "partial 16S ribosomal RNA". It matches the Rfam family "Bacterial small subunit ribosomal RNA", at positions 28 to 507 of the family's 1533-position model. The record is from RNAcentral.